AUACGGAGGAUGCAAGCGUUAUCCGGAAUCAUUGGGUUUAAAGGGUCCGUAGGUGGAUCGGUCAGUCAGAGGUGAAAUCCUGCAGCUCAACUGUAGAACUGCCUUUGAUACUGCCGUUCUUGAAUUGUCGUGAAGUGGUUGGAAUAUGUAGUGUAGCGGUGAAAUGCAUAGAUAUUACAUAGAACACCGAUUGCGAAGGCAGAUCACUAACGAUACAUUGACACUGAUGGACGAAAGCGUGGGGAGCGAACGGGAUUAGAUACCCCGGUAGUCCACGCCGUAAACGAUGGUCACUAGCUGUUCGGACUUCGGUCUGAGUGGCCAAGCGAAAGUGAUAAGUGACCCACCUGGGGAGUACGUUCGCAAGAAUGAA
RNAcentral lists this ribosomal RNA (373 nucleotides) under uncultured bacterium. RNAcentral's name for it is "bacterial SSU rRNA". It matches the Rfam family "Bacterial small subunit ribosomal RNA", at positions 523 to 898 of the family's 1533-position model. The record is from RNAcentral.